Molecule: long non-coding RNA, 1170 nt
Organism: Ictalurus punctatus (channel catfish)
Lineage: Eukaryota; Metazoa; Chordata; Actinopteri; Siluriformes; Ictaluridae
Source: Ensembl
UGAUUGCAAUUUUCACAACUACACUGGAGUCCUUUGAGUGAGGAUAUAGGUUUGCUCAUCUUACCGCUUAAUUUGCAUGAAAUCCAAAUCUACUCUUUUAAAUUUCAUGCAAAUUGAAGCUCUAGACAAGCUACUAUGCUACUGAGGAACAACCAAAGUCAUCCAAAGUCAAAGCAUCAGAAGAGGUAAAGGAUAUUAUGACCUUCAGCUUCUGACCUUCAGAGACAACUACUUUGAAAUACGAGUCAUCAGUAAUAUCCUUAAGAUUAAGGACAGUCGUUGGUUAUAAGAUGAGACCCAUGAGGUGGUCUCAUCUGCAGAGGUUCAACAUGAAACCCACGAGGUGGUCUCAUCCCCAGAGUUCCAGCCUGAGACCCAAAAGGUUGGCUCAUCUCCAGAACUCCAGCAUAAAGUUAUGUUCCUGCUAGAGGUCAACGAGGUGACCUCCCAAGCCACGUUCCUGUCCGAUGUCAAAGAGACAGCCUCUCAAGCCAAGUUCCUGUCCAUGGUCAAAGAGACGACCUCUCAAGCCAAGAUCCUGUCUGAGGUCCAAGAAACGGCCUCCCAAGCCACGUUCACAUACGAGGUUAAAGAGGCGGCCUCCCAAGCCAAAUUCCUGUCCGAAGUUGAAGAGACGACCUCCCAAGACAAGUUUCUGUCCGAGGUCGAAGAGAUGGCCUCCCAAGUCAAGUUUCUGUCCGAGGUCGAAGAGACAGCCUCCCAAGCCAAGUUUCUGACCUGCCGUAAAAAAUUUUGUUUGUGCUGCUACGGUUCUGAAGAAAUUAAAAGAAUAUUUAUAGGUCAUUCUGGGGUCACUCAGCCACCCCACACACUCCAAAUUCACCCCAAAUACUCUCAAUCGUUUGUGCUUCGUUUGUGCUGGUUUGUGCUGAUAGAAGUUUCGUUUGUGCUGCUUCGGUUUUUUAAAAUAUUAUAUAUUGAAUUAUGGUGCGGUGACAUCACCAGCCCCCCACAUGCUCCAUGUUCACUUCGAAUAGGCUCGUUUUUUGUACUUGGUUUGUGCUGGUUUGUGGCGAUAAAUGCUUCAUUUGUGCUGCUUCGGAUUUGGAGUAUUAAAAGAAUAUUUAUAGGUAAUUCUGGGGUCACUCAGCCCCCCCCAUAUGCUCCAAAUUCACCCCAAAUAGUCUCAGUCGUUUGUGCUGGUUUUUG